Molecule: transfer-messenger RNA, 402 nt
Filed under: Bacteroidales bacterium
Lineage: Bacteria; Pseudomonadati; Bacteroidota; Bacteroidia; Bacteroidales
Rfam family: transfer-messenger RNA
About the family: Bacterial tmRNA, also known as 10Sa RNA or SsrA, is named for its dual tRNA and mRNA-like properties.
Source: RNAcentral
GGGGAUGUUUUGGUUUUGACAUCAGAUUAACUGGAAAGUACGCAUGCCGAGAGUUGGAGGCCAGGCUCGUAAAUCCCAACCUUCAAGCCUAUAGAUGGCAAUAACAACUAUGCACUUGCUGCGUAAUCAACCAAGUUGAUACGCUUAAUCCGCCCAGCCAAGGCUGCUGGGCCGACAAGUAUCCCGCCAGUUCUUUAAGCCCGCUCUGAACUGCGCAUAUGGGGUAUCAUCCAAGCGGGAUGCUGGUGUAGACUUCUCUCACGCACCUUAAGACUCAGAGGAUAAGAUUCAGGUAGCCCGUUUGCCGGCAGCCUGUUUCCGACAACCAAAGGCAAAAUAAGCAUGUAGAAAGCUUUGUGGUGGUUUGCUUGGACGGCGGUUCGAGUCCGCCCAUCUCCACAA